Molecule: small RNA, 830 nt
Filed under: Arabidopsis thaliana (thale cress)
Lineage: Eukaryota; Viridiplantae; Streptophyta; Magnoliopsida; Brassicales; Brassicaceae
Description: ATSL027680
Source: RNAcentral
AAAUAAAUUCUUAUAUCAUAUUAUUUAUGCAUAAGUUUAUACGACUUAUACAACUAAAUUUAAAUAAUUUAAUUUAUAUACAAGUUUGAUAUACUUUGUACUUAAUUAAAAUAAAUUUAUUCAAUUAAUAAGUUAAAACAUGUCAAUUUGUAUGCAAGAAAGAAUUAAUGCAUGAUUUUUAAUUCUUAAAUUAAUUAAUAAAUAUAAUUAAGGGUAUAUGCACUAGAUGACUAUGAAAUUCAUAAUAUUAUAGAAACUAACCAUGGGCGUAUAGUACCUGUCGGAAACCAACUUUAAAUUACUCUCAUAUCCCUAUAAUAGAGUUUUGGUUGAAGGGACAAAUAGCUUUAUAGGCAAAUAGUUUUACCACUAAAGCUUCCAUAACCUCCUCAUCCCUUACAACAAUAACCACCACUAGAUCCGUAACACCACCGCCUCCUCCGUAUUUAGUAUUACUAGAUCUGUAAAUACUACCGCCUCCGUAUUCACCACCAUCAUAUCCAUAACACCACCGCCUCUUCCCUAUUCAUCACCACCGCCGUUUACUUUUGUUGACAUGUAUUUUUAUUCUAAAACAUUGUAUUUUUCAAAGUUUCUUUUAAAUAAUACUUGUUCUUUACUAAAAUUACAAUGAUCCGUGUGUCUCAAUUCAAACGAUAGCAUGUAAUUUUUGAAUAAUUCAUGCUAUUUUUCUAUUUGAUAUGUAUAUUUUCCUAAAACGUUUGUAUUUUUUGAUAAGAUAAUAUUUUUUUAAAGAUAAUGUGCAUUUUACUAAUAAUCCAUAUUUUUACUAAAAUCACAAGUAAGUUACUGAUUCAUGAUUCAUGUUU